RNAcentral lists this ribosomal RNA (203 nucleotides) under Bacillus anthracis (anthrax bacterium). RNAcentral describes it as "partial 16S ribosomal RNA". It matches the Rfam family "Bacterial small subunit ribosomal RNA", at positions 151 to 347 of the family's 1533-position model. The record is from RNAcentral. Lineage: Bacteria; Bacillati; Bacillota; Bacilli; Caryophanales; Bacillaceae.
GGGAAACCGGGGCUAAUACCGGAUAACAUUUUGAACCGCAUGGUUCGAAAUUGAAAGGCGGCUUCGGCUGUCACUUAUGGAUGGACCCGCGUCGCAUUAGCUAGUUGGUGAGGUAACGGCUCACCAAGGCAACGAUGCGUAGCCGACCUGAGAGGGUGAUCGGCCACACUGGGACUGAGACACGGCCCAGACUCCUACGGGAG